This 77-nucleotide transfer RNA is filed under the name Armatimonadota bacterium. RNAcentral's name for it is "tRNA-Met". It matches the Rfam family "tRNA". From Rfam's summary of the family: Transfer RNA (tRNA) molecules are approximately 80 nucleotides in length. Lineage: Bacteria; Bacillati; Armatimonadota. The record is from RNAcentral.
UGCGGGGUGGAGCAGUCUGGUAGCUCGUCGGGCUCAUAACCCGGAGGUCGUAGGUUCAAAUCCUGCCCCCGCGCCCA